This 472-nucleotide ribosomal RNA is filed under the name uncultured bacterium. Its description in RNAcentral is "bacterial SSU rRNA". It matches the Rfam family "Bacterial small subunit ribosomal RNA", at positions 328 to 793 of the family's 1533-position model. The record is from RNAcentral.
CCUAUGCACUCCUACGGGAGGCAGCAGUGGGGAAUAUUGCACAAUGGGCGCAAGCCUGAUGCAGCCAUGCCGCGUGUAUGAAGAAGGCCUUCGGGUUGUAAAGUACUUUCAGCAGUGAGGAAGGUGGGUAUGUUAAUAGCAUAUUCAUUUGACGUUAGCUGCAGAAGAAGCACCGGCUAACUCCGUGCCAGCAGCCGCGGUAAUACGGAGGGUGCGAGCGUUAAUCGGAAUUACUGGGCGUAAAGCGCAUGCAGGUGGUUUGUUAAGUCAGAUGUGAAAGCCCGGGGCUCAACCUCGGAAUUGCAUUUGAAACUGGCAAACUAGAGUACUGUAGAGGGGGUAGAAUUUCAGGUGUAGCGGUGAAAUGCGUAGAGAUCUGAAGGAAUACCGGUGGCGAAGGCGGCCCCCUGGACAGAUACUGACACUCAGAUGCGAAAGCGUGGGGAGCAAACAGGAUUAGAUACCCUGGUAG